Ruditapes philippinarum (Manila clam) is the source of this 105-nucleotide small nuclear RNA. NCBI's taxonomy places the organism in Eukaryota, Metazoa, Mollusca, Bivalvia, Venerida, Veneridae. The record is from RefSeq and is a predicted model, not a curated record.
GUAAAUAUAUGUUUACAUAUACUAAAAAUCAAAAGAUACAGAGAAAAUUAGCAUGGCCCCUGCGCAAGGAUGCAAGCAAAAUUCGUGAAGCGGUUCCAUAUUUUU